CGAGCCUGCCCAGUGACAUUAUGUUUAACGGCCGCAGUAUUUUAACUGUGCUAAGGUAGCGCAAUCACUUGUCCUUUAAAUGAGGACCUGUAUGAAAGGCGUGACGAGGGCUUAACUGUCUCCUUUUCCCAGUCAAUGAAAUUGAUCUCCCCGUGCAGAAGCGGGGAUAGAACUAUAAGACGAGAAGACCCUGUGGAGCUUAAGACAUCAGGACAGCCUAUGUCACCAAGCCUCCCCCCAGAGAAAUAUAACCUAGUAGCACCUGCCCAAAUGUCUUCGGUUGGGGCGACCAUGGGGAAAGCUAAACCCCCAUGUAGACGGGGAGCACUGAUGGAGGAUAUCUCCACCAAACCCACUACAGCACUCCUAAAAACCAGGGCUUUCCGCCCUAGUUAACGAAACAUUCGACUCAGACUGAUCCGGACGAACCGAUCAACGAACCAAGUUACCCCAGGGAUAACAGCGCUAUCCCCUUUCAGAGCCCAUAUCGCCAAGGGGGCUUACGACCUCGAUGUUGGAUCAGGACAUCCUAAUGGUGCAACCGCUAUUAAGGGUUCGUUUGUUCAACGAUUAAAGUCCUACGUGAUCUG
Molecule: ribosomal RNA, 590 nt
Filed under: Bothus podas (wide-eyed flounder)
Lineage: Eukaryota; Metazoa; Chordata; Actinopteri; Pleuronectiformes; Bothidae
Description: partial 16S large subunit ribosomal RNA
Rfam family: Bacterial large subunit ribosomal RNA
Source: RNAcentral